GGAAUUCCUGGCAGAGUGAUUUUUAAACCUAAUGACUGAAUCACAUUGCCAGGGAUUUCC
MicroRNA precursor from Carassius auratus (goldfish), 60 nucleotides. Ensembl annotates it as microRNA 23a-2. Its record names the gene mir23a-2. Lineage: Eukaryota; Metazoa; Chordata; Actinopteri; Cypriniformes; Cyprinidae. The record is from Ensembl.